GUAGGUGGCAAGCGUUGUCCGGAAUUAUUGGGCGUAAAGCGCGCGCAGGCGGUUCUUUAAGUCUGAUGUGAAAGCCCACGGGCUCAAACCGUGGAGGGUCAUUGGUAAACUGGAGAACUUGAGUACAGAAGAGGAAAGCGGAAUUCCACGUGUAGCGGUGAAAUGCGUAGAGAUGUGGAGGAACACCAGUGGCGAAGGCGGCUUUCUGGUCUGUAACUGACGCUGAGGCGCGAAAGCGUGGGGAGCAAACAGGAUUAGAUACCCUGGUAGUCCACGCCGUAAACGAUGAGUGCUAAGUGUUAGGGGGGUUUCCGCCCCUUAGUGCUGCAGCUAACGCAUUAAGCACUCCGCCUGGGGAGUACGGCCGCAAAGGCUG
RNAcentral lists this ribosomal RNA (376 nucleotides) under uncultured organism. Its description in RNAcentral is "partial 16S ribosomal RNA". It matches the Rfam family "Bacterial small subunit ribosomal RNA", at positions 527 to 896 of the family's 1533-position model. The record is from RNAcentral.